CAAUUUUACCACUAUCAACGACAUCCCAGGCUACACCAACAAAUGUUUCUGGUUCUUCGCUUUACCAAUUAUUGCUUUGUGUGCUGCAAGCAAAUAUCGAACAAAGGGACACUAUCUUGCUUUUAAUGAAACAUGUAACCGCUGGUGACUCUACAGUUGAUGGAGCAUCUAACCAAUCACCGGCUUCGGCAAUGGAG
Molecule: long non-coding RNA, 197 nt
Organism: Neltuma alba
Lineage: Eukaryota; Viridiplantae; Streptophyta; Magnoliopsida; Fabales; Fabaceae
Exons: 3
Source: RefSeq, a predicted model, not a curated record